RNAcentral lists this ribosomal RNA (689 nucleotides) under Bacillus sp. IDA0361. RNAcentral describes it as "bacterial SSU rRNA". It matches the Rfam family "Bacterial small subunit ribosomal RNA", at positions 35 to 719 of the family's 1533-position model. Lineage: Bacteria; Bacillati; Bacillota; Bacilli; Caryophanales; Bacillaceae. The record is from RNAcentral.
GCUGGCGGCGUGCCUAAUACAUGCAAGUCGAGCGAACCACUUCGGUGGUUAGCGGCGGACGGGUGAGUAACACGUGGGCAACCUGCCUGUAAGACUGGGAUAACGCCGGGAAACCGGCGCUAAUACCGGAUAAUCCUUUUCCUCUCAUGAGGAAAAGCUGAAAGUCGGUUUCGGCUGACACUUACAGAUGGGCCCGCGGCGCAUUAGCUAGUUGGUGAGGUAACGGCUCACCAAGGCGACGAUGCGUAGCCGACCUGAGAGGGUGAUCGGCCACACUGGGACUGACACACGGCCCAGACUCCUACGGGAGGCAGCAGUAGGGAAUCUUCCACAAUGGACGAAAGUCUGAUGGAGCAACGCCGCGUGAGCGAUGAAGGCCUUCGGGUCGUAAAGCUCUGUUGUUAGGGAAGAACAAGUGCCGGAGUAACUGCCGGUACCUUGACGGUACCUAACCAGAAAGCCACGGCUAACUACGUGCCAGCAGCCGCGGUAAUACGUAGGUGGCAAGCGUUGUCCGGAAUUAUUGGGCGUAAAGCGCGCGCAGGCGGUCCUUUAAGUCUGAUGUGAAAGCCCACGGCUCAACCGUGGAGGGUCAUUGGAAACUGGGGGACUUGAGUGCAGACGAGGAAAGCGGAAUUCCACGUGUAACGGUGAAAUGCGUAGAGAUGUGGARGAACACCAGUGGCGAA